CUGUUUUCAAAACAGAGCAAACUUUCUACUGAAGAAACCUGUUAAUAUUUCUGCAGAUUGAGGGCAUGACAUCAGACAAAUUAGAUAUGGUAUGCAUCUCUGUUGCAUAUGUAUGCAGGAGUGGAAUUGCUGACUUAUAGCUUAUCAUGUAAAAGUUCGUAAGUUACAGGCAAACAAUAUUCCAAUGUGGUUGUAUCAAUUUGCCCUCCAUCAGCAGUGUGCAAAUUAAUUUAAAAAUUAUGUCUACACAAAAACGUGCACACAGAUAUUUGUAUGCCUUAUCAUAACUGCUAAAACCUGGAAGCAACCAGCAUGCCCAUCAAUAGAUUUUCAGGGGAGGAAGAAAAAACAGUUUGGACCUUAAAAAAUAAGCAAGCUGGCCGGGCGCGGUGGCUCACACCUGUUAUCCCAGCACUUUGGGAGGCUGAGGCUGGUGGAUCACAAGGUCAAGAGAUCAAGACCAUCCUGGCCAACACGGAGUAUAUAUGCCAAAAUUGGAGCUGA
Molecule: long non-coding RNA, 504 nt
Filed under: Callithrix jacchus (white-tufted-ear marmoset)
Lineage: Eukaryota; Metazoa; Chordata; Mammalia; Primates; Cebidae
Description: lncRNA (ENSCJAG00000077333.1)
Source: RNAcentral